Molecule: unclassified non-coding RNA, 600 nt
Filed under: Hevea brasiliensis (rubber tree)
Lineage: Eukaryota; Viridiplantae; Streptophyta; Magnoliopsida; Malpighiales; Euphorbiaceae
Source: RNAcentral
UCUACUCAUUGCUUUACAGAUACAGCCAAGUUGCUUUCUUUACCAAAAUGUUGGUAUGUUUCCCCUGCUUCCCAAGAGAAUUCGGACAAUGCUAACUGUUCAAGACAUAGUCUCCGGGCUAAAGAUUUCGAUGGAUGGACAUGAUAUCUCUCUCACCAUGUGAUGGAACUGGCUGCUCCCUGAUGCGAGAUAAAAGGAUGGAAACUUGAUCAGUGGCCAUGUCCAGCCUUUCUUUUGACUUGGAAGAUUCAGUUAUUAGAGUUGAUACCAUGUUCUGCAAUAACUGCAUUCUUUCUCUAUGAACAUUUGGAGAAUUGUGAAGAAGUUUUGCUGGGGAUGUGCUGAUCCUACGCCAACGGAAGGGGAGAUACCUUUCUGGAAUCUGAAAACAAUUUCCUGUGGAAAGAACUCGGAAAGCAUGCCGACAGAGAAUUCCAGAGAACUCAAACUGAUGGCAGCUGCAACUAAUGAUGCCUUCCCUAGGAACCCAAUAUACUUUACGGCCUCCCUCAAGUUUUGUGUGGUGUCUCACAAGAAAGCCAUCUUCCACCUGGAAUGAUGCAUAGUGGGCAGCCAAAACAAGUUGUUCCUGGAGCUUAG